GCGUUGGUGGUUCAGUGGUAGAACGCUCACCUUCUGUGUGGGACACCAGGGUGCAAUUCCCAGCCAGAGCU
This 71-nucleotide transfer RNA is filed under the name Loxodonta africana (African savanna elephant). It matches the Rfam family "tRNA". From Rfam's summary of the family: Transfer RNA (tRNA) molecules are approximately 80 nucleotides in length. Their secondary structure includes four short double-helical elements and three loops (D, anti-codon, and T loops). Further hydrogen bonds mediate the characteristic L-shaped molecular structure. tRNAs have two regions of fundamental functional importance: the anti-codon, which is responsible for specific mRNA codon recognition, and the 3' end, to which the tRNAs corresponding amino acid is attached (by aminoacyl-tRNA synthetases). tRNAs cope with the degeneracy of the genetic code in two manners: having more than one tRNA (with a specific anti-codon) for a particular amino acid; and 'wobble' base-pairing, i.e. permitting non-standard base-pairing at the 3rd anti-codon position. The record is from Rfam by way of RNAcentral. Lineage: Eukaryota; Metazoa; Chordata; Mammalia; Proboscidea; Elephantidae.